AAUCACUCUUCGGGGAGCCGGACGAUUCCGGCUGAGAUUGGGCGAAGCCGCGCCCUCACCCGCAAACCUGAUACGGGUUAUGCCGUCGUAGGGAAAGAUGCAGAUAUGGAC
Firmicutes bacterium CAG:137 is the source of this 111-nucleotide regulatory RNA element. It matches the Rfam family "TPP riboswitch aptamer (THI element)". Rfam says of the family: Vitamin B(1) in its active form thiamin pyrophosphate (TPP) is an essential coenzyme that is synthesised by coupling of pyrimidine and thiazole moieties in bacteria. The previously detected thiamin-regulatory element, thi box was extended, resulting in a new, highly conserved RNA secondary structure, the THI element, which is widely distributed in eubacteria and also occurs in some archaea. Lineage: Bacteria; Bacillati; Bacillota. The record is from Rfam.